Molecule: transfer RNA, 73 nt
Filed under: Diaphorina citri (Asian citrus psyllid)
Lineage: Eukaryota; Metazoa; Arthropoda; Insecta; Hemiptera; Psyllidae
Rfam family: tRNA
About the family: Transfer RNA (tRNA) molecules are approximately 80 nucleotides in length.
Source: Rfam by way of RNAcentral
GCCUAGUUAGCUUAGUUGGUAGUGCGUCUGCCUUGUAAGCGCUAGGCCGCGGGUUUGAUUCCCGUCCGGGGCG